CUACGGGUGGCUGCAGUGGGGAAUAUUGGACAAUGGGGGGAACCCUGAUCCAGCCAUGCCGCGUGUGUGAAGAAGGCCCUCGGGUUGUAAAGCACUUUCAGUGAGGAAGAACGCCUGGUGGUUAAUACCCAUCAGGAAAGACAUCACUCACAGAAGAAGCACCGGCUAACUCCGUGCCAGCAGCCGCGGUAAUACGGAGGGUGCGAGCGUUAAUCGGAAUUACUGGGCGUAAAGCGCGCGUAGGUGGCUUGAUAAGCCGGUUGUGAAAGCCCCGGGCUCAACCUGGGAACGGCAUCCGGAACUGUCAAGCUAGAGUGCAGGAGAGGAAGGUAGAAUUCCCGGUGUAGCGGUGAAAUGCGUAGAGAUCGGGAGGAAUACCAGUGGCGAAGGCGGCCUUCUGGACUGACACUGACACUGAGGUGCGAAAGCGUGGGUAGCAAACAGGAUUAGAUACCCUUGUAGUC
RNAcentral lists this ribosomal RNA (464 nucleotides) under Vreelandella stevensii. RNAcentral describes it as "partial 16S ribosomal RNA". It matches the Rfam family "Bacterial small subunit ribosomal RNA", at positions 339 to 795 of the family's 1533-position model. Lineage: Bacteria; Pseudomonadati; Pseudomonadota; Gammaproteobacteria; Oceanospirillales; Halomonadaceae. The record is from RNAcentral.